This 288-nucleotide ribosomal RNA is filed under the name uncultured bacterium. RNAcentral describes it as "partial 16S ribosomal RNA". It matches the Rfam family "Bacterial small subunit ribosomal RNA", at positions 336 to 638 of the family's 1533-position model. The record is from RNAcentral.
UUCCUACGGGGGGCAGCAGUGGGGAAUAUUGGGCAAUGGGCGCGAGCCUGACCCAGCAACGCCGCGUGAAGGAAGAAGGCUUUCGGGUUGUAAACUUCUUUUAUGAGGGACGAAAGAAAUGACGGUACCUCAUGAAUAAGCCACGGCUAACUACGUGCCAGCAGCCGCGGUAAUACGUAGGUGGCAAGCGUUAUCCGGAUUUACUGGGUGUAAAGGGCGUGUAGGCGGGACUGCAAGUCAGAUGUGAAAACUAUUGGCUCAACCCAUAACCUGCAUUUGAAACUGUAG